GUAUAGAUCAGACUCGCCUUGAAC
RNAcentral lists this non-coding RNA (24 nucleotides) under Cricetulus griseus (Chinese hamster). The record is from RNAcentral. Lineage: Eukaryota; Metazoa; Chordata; Mammalia; Rodentia; Cricetidae.